CCUACGGGAGGCAGCAGUGAGGAAUAUUGGUCAAUGGCCGAGAGGCUGAACCAGCCAAGUCGCGUGAGGGAUGACGGCCCUACGGGUUGUAAACCUCUUUUGUCGGGGAGCAAAGAGAGUCACGUUUGCCUCAUUGAGAGUACCCUAAGAAAAAGCAUCGGCUAACUCCGUUCCAGCAGCCGCGGUAAUACCGAGGAUUCGGGCGUUAUCCGGAUUUUUUGGGUUUAAAGGGUGCGCAUGCGGAGGUGCAAGUCAGCGGUCAAAUUGCGGGGCUCAACCCCGUACUGCCGUUGAAACUGCAUCCC
Molecule: ribosomal RNA, 305 nt
Filed under: uncultured bacterium
Lineage: Bacteria
Description: bacterial SSU rRNA
Rfam family: Bacterial small subunit ribosomal RNA
Source: RNAcentral